AAGCACAGAGGGGAGCCUGGGCUCCCCUCCAAAUUGACUUUGUGCUUUGUUCUUCUUGUGCUCGAUCUGUUGUUGUUCUUGUCGACCGCCACCCUGAAGAUGCUUCAGUCGGCCCCAAUCGGGGCCAAGAGCAAACGUAUUUCUUUGAUCGCCGAUAUCGCGAUGACCACUACGUGAUCCAACCAGUCCGGGCGCUACCUCGAGGUAGUU
RNAcentral lists this unclassified non-coding RNA (210 nucleotides) under Azotobacter beijerinckii. Its description in RNAcentral is "Pseudomonas sRNA P29". Lineage: Bacteria; Pseudomonadati; Pseudomonadota; Gammaproteobacteria; Pseudomonadales; Pseudomonadaceae. The record is from RNAcentral.